This is an unclassified non-coding RNA of Macaca fascicularis (crab-eating macaque), 148 nucleotides long. It matches the Rfam family "Metazoan signal recognition particle RNA". Rfam says of the family: The signal recognition particle (SRP) is a universally conserved ribonucleoprotein. It is involved in the co-translational targeting of proteins to membranes. The record is from Ensembl. NCBI's taxonomy places the organism in Eukaryota, Metazoa, Chordata, Mammalia, Primates, Cercopithecidae.
GCUGGGCGUGGUGGUGCAUGCCUGUAAUCCCUGCUACUCGGGAGGCUGAGGCAGGAGAAUUACUUGAAUCCAGGAGGCUGGGGUCGCAGUGAGCUGAGAUCACGCCACUGCCCUCUAGCCUGGGUGACAGAGCGAGACUCUGUCUCAA